AGAAUGAACGCUGGCGGCGUGCUUUACACAUGCAAGUCGAGCGAGGCGGGUAGCAAUACCCAGUCGAGCGGCGAACGGGUGAGUAACACGUGGAUCAUCUACCUUCAGGUGGGGGAUAACCCGGGGAAACUCGGGCUAAUACCGCAUAACAUCGCGAGAUCAAAGGGGCGCAAGUCCCGCCAGAAGAGGAGUCCGCGUUCGAUUAGCUAGUUGGUAGGGUAAUGGCCUACCAAGGCCACGAUCGAUA
Molecule: ribosomal RNA, 247 nt
Filed under: uncultured soil bacterium
Lineage: Bacteria
Description: partial 16S ribosomal RNA
Rfam family: Bacterial small subunit ribosomal RNA
Source: RNAcentral